CGUACGUAUGGACAAAUGAACAUUUGGUGGAAAUUAUGUAAAACUUGGCACCAUAUGCUGUGUAAAUUUAUGAAACGUGAAACGCCAUUGCUUUGUGAAGGGAGGGGCAAAUGUGUAAUUUUAAAGGUAGCAGGGAGUAAAGCGGUUCGGUCGGGGGAUGAAUCGGAAUCGGAUGAUGCAGUUUCUUCUCCUCUGCGUCAAAUUGGCUCUGCGGAUUGGAUUUCCCCGAGGGCGAAGACGAUCCCUCUCACGAUCGGACUCCUCAUCGUCAUCCCAAGGCCUUUUCCGCAAUUUGAAUUCCCAGACCUGCACAUGGGCAACUGCGUCGUUAAGAACCAAAAAGAUGAUGAUUCAGACAACCAAGUUGAGUUUUCCGGUGGAAACGUUCAUUUGGUAACAACAAAAGAGAGCUGGGAUCAGAAGUUGGCAGAAUCUAGUCGUGAUGGCAAAAUAGUCAUUGCAAACUUCAGCGCCACAUGGUGUGGUCCAUGUAGAAUGGUGGCACCGUUUUACAUCGAGUUGUCAGAGAAAUACCCUUCUCUGAUGUUCCUUCUAGUAGAUGUUGAUGAGCUCAGUGAUUUCAGCUCAUCAUGGGAUAUAAAGGCGACACCGACCUUCUUCUUCCUGAAGAAUGGAGAGCAAAUAGGCAGGCUUGUUGGAGCAAACAAGCCAGAGCUACAGAAGAAAAUAACAGCUAUCGUUGAUUCAGCGCAGCCACAGUGAUUGUGGGUAUUCAAAAGCCUUUGAAUCAAAUGAAGCGAGACAAGAUCUACAAAUUAGAUCACCUGGGAGGCAAUGAAACGACAAAAAAAGUCCAUGAAGGGGAAGCUCUGAAGGGAUGAACGUACGAGAUGGUUUGGACAUGUUAUUGCUGGUUCGCAUUUGUCCUUCUGCAGUGUAGUUCAGAAACACCCAUAAAGAACAGUUGAAGAACUGGCCCUUCUGAGCCAUAUCCAGCCAAGAAAAUGUGGAGUUCCAUUAUAAGAACCUUCAGACGGCUUUUUUCUCUGUUUUUCAGUUAUCUAAACCAUUUUUUUAAAUCUCGAAGACGUUUUCUUUA
RNA transcript from Tarenaya hassleriana, 1060 nucleotides. It is a transcript of the gene named thioredoxin H9-like, with no coding region annotated. The transcript is spliced from 7 exons. NCBI's taxonomy places the organism in Eukaryota, Viridiplantae, Streptophyta, Magnoliopsida, Brassicales, Cleomaceae. The record is from RefSeq and is a predicted model, not a curated record.